AGCUUGUGCCAAUGCAAAGCAGCCCUCAGGCUCACUAUAAAAGCCCAGGACGAGCUGAGAGGCUUCAUCCCCUUCUCACUAGAGCUUCCAGCAAAGCAUGGCUGUUCUGGUGCUGCUCCUCUGCCUGGUGGCAUUUCCAAGUUGUGUCUUUUCCCAGGUACAGCUGAAGGAGACAGGACCUGGCCUGGUGCAGCCUUCACAGACCCUGUCACUCACCUGCACUGUCUCUGGGUUCUCAUUAGCUGACUAUGACAUGUCCUGGGUUCGCCAGCCUCUUGGAAAAGGGCUGGAGUGGAUGGGAGCAAUAUGGAGGGGUGGAAGCCCAAAGUACAGUUCAACUCUCCAAUCUCGAAUCACCAUCAGCAAGGAUACCUCCAAGAAUGAAGUCUUCUUAAAAUUGAACAGUCUGCACACUGAAGACACAGCCAUAUAUUACUGCACUAGAGACACAGUGAGGAAACUCCAAUUUGAGCCUACACAAAAAAAAUCUCCUUAUAGAGACAUCUGGGACCAGCAGAGGGCACUAAGGACCAACAGGGACUACUGAAAACCAAAAUAAGGU
Molecule: non-coding RNA, 562 nt
Organism: Myodes glareolus (Bank vole)
Lineage: Eukaryota; Metazoa; Chordata; Mammalia; Rodentia; Cricetidae
Source: the annotation of a RefSeq genome assembly